UCUUCUGAAAUGGAUCAAAUCGGACUUUGUCGUCGAGACUCGGAAGAACCCAGCUGCCUAAAUUAUAAUGCCAGUGGAACUCAAAACAGAAAAGAUACUUGUAUGCAAGACAUGGAGAAAAAAGCAGACUACAGCAUCUAUAUACCAUUCCUUGGUGCCUCCUUGAAUUGAUGUUUUUUUCCGGAUAACCAUGGAGGAAUAAAGGUUAACUCAGUAUAAAGUCUUGCUGACAUUAACAUGAUAAUCACAAGAAAGUGAAUAUAUUUCAUCACCUUAAGCAAUUUUCAAAAUACCAGGUAAAGUGCAUUUAUUCUGAACACAUAUCAAAUAUUUAAACCCAUUUAAUAUGUCACCCCUAAAUUUUUUUGAAAGUAUACUGGAAACACAAUGUCUGUUUGCCAGUCUCUCUGUAUAGUAAUAUAUAUGGAAGUAUAUAGUUUUUGAAUACUAGUAGCUUUUUAGUUCACCUGAGCCGAAAGCACAAGUGAACUUUUCAGAUCACAUUUUCUUCGGCAUCUGUCUGUCCAUCUGUUAACUUUUCACAUUUUCAACUUCUUCUCAAGAACCACUGGGCCAGGAAAGAUGGAACUUAAAUGGAAGCAUCCUCAGAUAGUGUACUUUCAAGCCUCUUCAACCCAGGGGGGGGGGGGGGCACAAUGGACGUACAGUCUUACUUAAGAAAUAAGGUAUUUUUAAACUUCUAUCCGGACAUAAAUAUUGGUUGGUCAUGACUUACAAGAUUAAAUUCCAUAAAGCCUGAAGGGCUUUAUAAUGAAUUUAAUCUCGUACCAACCCGUAUUUAUAGCCUGUUGGAUGUUUUAAAAUGAUACCUUAUUACUUAUAUUUUCAUUUGUGACUUAUUCAUACUUUAUAUUUGCCUGAUCACGCUGUUUGUGGCUUUUAACAUCCUAAAUGCAUUAUUUUUCAAAACCAAUGGCAUGUACAUGUAUACAAGACAUUGAAUGCGUGUCGACCCUUUAUAACGUCACUGUGAAAUUCCGUUGAACAUUUAUCGAUACGCACAUCUAUGACCUCUUGACCCCUGUAGUG
Long non-coding RNA from Saccostrea cuccullata (small rock oyster), 1050 nucleotides. RefSeq lists it as uncharacterized. The record is from RefSeq and is a predicted model, not a curated record. The transcript has 3 exons. NCBI's taxonomy places the organism in Eukaryota, Metazoa, Mollusca, Bivalvia, Ostreida, Ostreidae.